This 131-nucleotide non-coding RNA is filed under the name uncultured Bolidomonas. Lineage: Eukaryota; Bolidophyceae. The record is from RNAcentral.
AAAAAGAAGGACAAAAAGGAGAAGAAAGAGAAGAAAGAGAAGAAGGCCAAGGCCUAAAUAUAACUCUUCGGCCAGGCCUUUACCUGUCUUUUUGAUUCUCUCAUUUGAGAGCAUCUAUUGUAGUUUGCGUU